UGCCCAGCAACUCCUAUUCCUACCUCCUCGUGGUACAGGCCGGGGUACGAGUAACCUUGGGGAAGAUCGGGUAACCAACCCCCGGUGGGAACUUUGGUCGUAUGCUGACAGGGAAGG
This 117-nucleotide ribozyme is filed under the name Aedes aegypti (yellow fever mosquito). Its description in RNAcentral is "drz-agam-1 ribozyme". It matches the Rfam family "drz-agam-1 ribozyme". Lineage: Eukaryota; Metazoa; Arthropoda; Insecta; Diptera; Culicidae. The record is from Rfam by way of RNAcentral.